CUUGUACUCCCUCCGUCCCAUAUUAAGUGAUUCAAAUCUGUCCAAACAUGAAUGUAUCUAUGUCUACAAAGCGUCUAGAUACAUGUAAUAGAAAGUCACUUAAUAUGAGACGGAGGGAGUAACAC
Molecule: non-coding RNA, 125 nt
Organism: Brachypodium distachyon (stiff brome)
Lineage: Eukaryota; Viridiplantae; Streptophyta; Magnoliopsida; Poales; Poaceae
Source: Rfam